UCCAGACUCCUACGGGAGGCAGCAGUGGGGAAUAUUGGGCAAUGGGCGCAAGCCUGACCCAGCAACGCCGCGUGAAGGAAGAAGGCUUUCGGGUUGUAAACUUCUUUUAAGAGGGAAGAGUAGAAGACGGUACCUCUUGAAUAAGCCACGGCUAACUACGUGCCAGCAGCCGCGGUAAUACGUAGGUGGCAAGCGUUGUCCGGAUUUACUGGGUGUAAAGGGCGUGUAGCCGGGCCGGCAAGUCAGAUGUGAAAUCCCAAGGCUCAACCUUGGAACUGCAUUUGAAACUGUUGGUCUUGAGUAUCGGAGAGGCAGGCGGAAUUCCUAGUGUAGCGGUGAAAUGCGUAGAUAUACGGAGGAACACCAGUGGCGAAGGCGGAUUGCUGGACAGUAACUGACGCUGAGGCGCGAAAGCGUGGGGAGCAAACAGGAUUAGAUACCCUAGUA
This 447-nucleotide ribosomal RNA is filed under the name uncultured bacterium. Its description in RNAcentral is "partial 16S ribosomal RNA". It matches the Rfam family "Bacterial small subunit ribosomal RNA", at positions 330 to 792 of the family's 1533-position model. The record is from RNAcentral.